GGGUUGUGAGGUUAAGCGACUAAGCGUACACGGUGGAUGCCCUGGCAGUCAGAGGCGAUGAAGGACGUGCUAAUCUGCGAAAAGCGUCGGUAAGGUGAUAUGAACCGUUAUAACCGGCGAUGUCCGAAUGGGGAAACCCAGUGCAAUUCGUUGCACUAUCGUUAACUGAAUACAUAGGUUAACGAGGCGAACCGGGGGAACUGAAACAUCUAAGUACCCCGAGGAAAAGAAAUCAACCGAGAUUCCCCCAGUAGCGGCGAGCGAACGGGGAGCAGCCCAGAGUCUGAAUCAGCUUGUGUGUUAGUGGAACGGUCUGGAAAGUCCGACGGUACAGGGUGAUAGUCCCGUACACCAAAAUGCACAGGCUGUGAACUCGAAGAGUAGGGCGGGACACGUGGUAUCCUGUCUGAAUAUGGGGGGACCAUCCUCCAAGGCUAAAUACUCCUGACUGACCGAUAGUGAACCAGUACCGUGAGGGAAAGGCGAAAAGAACCCCGGCGAGGGGAGUGAAAAAGAACCUGAAACCGUGUACGUACAAGCAGUGGGAGCACCUUCGGGUGUGACUGCGUACCUUUUGUAUAAUGGGUCAGCGACUUAUAUUCUGUAGCAAGGUUAACCGUAUAGGGGAGCCGCAGGGAAACCGAGUCUUAACUGGGCGUUAAGUUGCAGGGUAUAGACCCGAAACCCGGUGAUCUAGCCAUGGGCAGGUUGAAGGUUGGGUAACACUAACUGGAGGACCGAACCGACUAAUGUUGAAAAAUUAGCGGAUGACUUGUGGCUGGGGGUGAAAGGCCAAUCAAACCGGGAGAUAGCUGGUUCUCCCCGAAAGCUAUUUAGGUAGCGCCUCGUGAACUCAUCUUCGGGGGUAGAGCACUGUUUCGGCUAGGGGGUCAUCCCGACUUACCAACCCGAUGCAAACUACGAAUACCGAAGAAUGUUAUCACGGGAGACACACGGCGGGUGCUAACGUCCGUCGUGAAGAGGGAAACAACCCAGACCGCCAGCUAAGGUCCCAAAGUCAUGGUUAAGUGGGAAACGAUGUGGGAAGGCACAGACAGCCAGGAUGUUGGCUUAGAAGCAGCCAUCAUUUAAAGAAAGCGUAAUAGCUCACUGGUCGAGUCGGCCUGCGCGGAAGAUGUAACGGGGCUAAACCAUGCACCGAAGCUGCGGCAGCGACACUAUGUGUUGUUGGGUAGGGGAGCGUUCUGUAAGCCUGCGAAGGUGUGCUGUGAGGCAUGCUGGAGGUAUCAGAAGUGCGAAUGCUGACAUAAGUAACGAUAAAGCGGGUGAAAAGCCCGCUCGCCGGAAGACCAAGGGUUCCUGUCCAACGUUAAUCGGGGCAGGGUGAGUCGACCCCUAAGGCGAGGCCGAAAGGCGUAGUCGAUGGGAAACAGGUUAAUAUUCCUGUACUUGGUGUUACUGCGAAGGGGGGACGGAGAAGGCUAUGUUAGCCGGGCGACGGUUGUCCCGGUUUAAGCAUGUAGGCUGAUUGUCCAGGCAAAUCCGGAUAAUCAAGGCUGAGGUGUGAUGACGAGGCACUACGGUGCUGAAGUAACAAAUGCCCUGCUUCCAGGAAAAGCCUCUAAGCAUCAGGUAACAUCAAAUCGUACCCCAAACCGACACAGGUGGUCAGGUAGAGAAUACCAAGGCGCUUGAGAGAACUCGGGUGAAGGAACUAGGCAAAAUGGUGCCGUAACUUCGGGAGAAGGCACGCUGGUGUGUAGGUGAAGUCCCUGCGGAUGGAGCUGAGACCAGUCGAAGAUACCAGCUGGCUGCAACUGUUUAUUAAAAACACAGCACUGUGCAAACACGAAAGUGGACGUAUACGGUGUGACGCCUGCCCGGUGCCGGAAGGUUAAUUGAUGGGGUUAUCCGUAAGGAGAAGCUCUUGAUCGAAGCCCCGGUAAACGGCGGCCGUAACUAUAACGGUCCUAAGGUAGCGAAAUUCCUUGUCGGGUAAGUUCCGACCUGCACGAAUGGCGUAAUGAUGGCCAGGCUGUCUCCACCCGAGACUCAGUGAAAUUGAACUCGCUGUGAAGAUGCAGUGUACCCGCGGCAAGACGGAAAGACCCCGUGAACCUUUACUAUAGCUUGACACUGAACAUUGAGCCUUGAUGUGUAGGAUAGGUGGGAGGCUUUGAAGCGUGGACGCCAGUCUGCGUGGAGCCAACCUUGAAAUACCACCCUUUAAUGUUUGAUGUUCUAACGUUGGCCCCUGACCGGGGUUGCGGACAGUGUCUGGUGGGUAGUUUGACUGGGGCGGUCUCCUCCCAAAGCGUAACGGAGGAGCACGAAGGUUAGCUAAUCCUGGUCGGACAUCAGGAGGUUAGUGCAAUGGCAUAAGCUAGCUUGACUGCGAGCGUGACGGCGCGAGCAGGUGCGAAAGCAGGUCAUAGUGAUCCGGUGGUUCUGAAUGGAAGGGCCAUCGCUCAACGGAUAAAAGGUACUCCGGGGAUAACAGGCUGAUACCGCCCAAGAGUUCAUAUCGACGGCGGUGUUUGGCACCUCGAUGUCGGCUCAUCACAUCCUGGGGCUGAAGUAGGUCCCAAGGGUAUGGCUGUUCGCCAUUUAAAGUGGUACGCGAGCUGGGUUUAGAACGUCGUGAGACAGUUCGGUCCCUAUCUGCCGUGGGCGCUGGAGAAUUGAGGGGGGCUGCUCCUAGUACGAGAGGACCGGAGUGGACGCAUCACUGGUGUUCGGGUUGUCAUGCCAAUGGCACUGCCCGGUAGCUAAAUGCGGAAGAGAUAAGUGCUGAAAGCAUCUAAGCACGAAACUUGCCCCGAGAUGAGUUCUCCCUGAGACUUUAAGUCUCCUGAAGGAACGUUGAAGACGACGACGUUGAUAGGCCGGGUGUGUAAGCGCAGCGAUGCGUUGAGCUAACCGGUACUAAUGAACCGUGAGGCUUAACCUUACAACGCCGAAG
Molecule: ribosomal RNA, 2923 nt
Filed under: Klebsiella pneumoniae
Lineage: Bacteria; Pseudomonadati; Pseudomonadota; Gammaproteobacteria; Enterobacterales; Enterobacteriaceae
Description: bacterial LSU rRNA
Rfam family: Bacterial large subunit ribosomal RNA
Source: RNAcentral